CCCUUAGAUGUCCUGGGCCGCACGCGCGCUACACUGAUGCAUUCAACGAGUUUUUCCUUGGCCGAGAGGCCUGGGCAAUCUUUUGAACGUGCAUCGUGAUAGGGAUAGAUUAUUGCAAUUAUUAAUCUUGAACGAGGAAUUCCUAGUAAACGCAGAUCAUCAAUCUGCAUUGAUUACGUCCCUGCCCUUUGUACACACCGCCCGUCGCACCUACCGAUUGAAUGGUCCGGUGAAGCCUCGGGAUUGUGGCCAGUUCACUUUAUUGGGAGUUGGCUGCGAGAACUUGUCUAAACCUUAUCAUUUAGAGGAAGGUGAAGUCGUAACA
RNAcentral lists this ribosomal RNA (325 nucleotides) under uncultured eukaryote. RNAcentral's name for it is "partial 18S ribosomal RNA". It matches the Rfam family "Eukaryotic small subunit ribosomal RNA", at positions 1470 to 1796 of the family's 1831-position model. The record is from RNAcentral.